GUCCACGCCGUAAACGAUGUCAAUUAGGAGCUUGGGCAAUAGUCUGGGUUCCGCAGCUAACGCAAUAAAUUGACCGCCUGGGGGAGUACGGCCGCAAGGUUAAAACUCAAAUGAAUUGACGGGGGCCCGCACAAGCGGUGGAGCAUGUGGUUUAAUUCGACGCAACGCGAAGAACCUUACCUGAUCUUGACAUCGUAAGAACCUCACUGAAGGGUGAGGGUGCCUUCGGGAACUUACAGACAGGUGCUGCAUGGCUGUCGU
This 261-nucleotide ribosomal RNA is filed under the name uncultured bacterium. RNAcentral describes it as "partial 16S ribosomal RNA". It matches the Rfam family "Bacterial small subunit ribosomal RNA", at positions 793 to 1055 of the family's 1533-position model. The record is from RNAcentral.